CCCGUUUUGUAUGUACCUUAUGAAUAAGCAUCGGCUAACUCCGUGCCAGCAGCCGCGGUAAUACGGAGGAUGCGAGCGUUAUCCGGAUUUAUUGGGUUUAAAGGGUGCGUAGGUGGGUAAUUAAGUCAGCGGUGAAAGUUUGUGGCUCAACCAUAAAAUUGCCGUUGAAACUGGUCACCUUGAGUAUGUUUGCUGUAGGCGGAAUGCGUGUUGUAGCGGUGAAAUGCAUAGAUAUCACGCAGAACUCCGAUUGCGAAGGCAGCUUACAAAACCAUCACUGACACUGAAGCACGAAAGCGUGGGAAUCAAACAGGAUUAGAUACCCUGGUAGUCCACGCCGUAAACGAUGAUUACUAGGGAUUUGCGAUAUAGUGUAAGUCCUACAGCGAAAGCGUUAAGUAAUCCACCUGGGGAGUACGCCGGCAACGGUGAAACUCAAAGGAAUUGACGGGGGCCCGCACAAGCGGAGGAACAUGUGGUUUAAUUCGAUGAUACGCGAGGAACCUUACCCGGGUUUGAACGCAUUAGGAAUACGAUUGAAAGGUUGUAGCUAGCAAUAGCCUAUUGCGAGGUGCUGCAUGGUUGUCGUCAGCUCGUGCCGUGAGGUGUCGGCUUAAGUGCCAUAACGAGCGCAACCCUGAUUGUCAGUUGCUAGCAGGUAAAGCUGAGGACUCUGACAAGACUGCCGGCGUAAGCUGUGAGGAAGGUUGGGAUGACGUCAAAUCAGCACGGCCCUUACAUCCGGGGCGACACACGUGUUACAAUGGGGGGGACAAAGGGGCGCUACCUGGCGACAGGAUGCCAAUCUCAAAACCCUCUCUCAGUUCGGAUCGGAGUCUGCAACUCGACUCCGUGAAGCUGGAUUCGCUAGUAAUCGCGCAUCAGCCAUGGCGCGGUGAAUACGUUCCCGGGCCUUGUACACACCGCCCGUCAAGCCAUGGGAGCCGGGGGUACCUGAAGUACGUAACCGUCAAAGGAUCGUCCUAGGGUAAAACCGGUGACUGGGGCUAAGUCGUAACAAGGUAGCCGUACCGGAAGGUGCGGCUG
This 1047-nucleotide ribosomal RNA is filed under the name Parabacteroides sp. Marseille-P3160. Its description in RNAcentral is "bacterial SSU rRNA". It matches the Rfam family "Bacterial small subunit ribosomal RNA", at positions 463 to 1520 of the family's 1533-position model. Lineage: Bacteria; Pseudomonadati; Bacteroidota; Bacteroidia; Bacteroidales; Tannerellaceae. The record is from RNAcentral.